This is a small nucleolar RNA of Suncus etruscus (white-toothed pygmy shrew), 132 nucleotides long. RefSeq annotates it as small nucleolar RNA SNORA51. The transcript has a single exon. The record is from RefSeq and is a predicted model, not a curated record. Lineage: Eukaryota; Metazoa; Chordata; Mammalia; Eulipotyphla; Soricidae.
GGCCUCCAGGUACUUACCAAAGGCUGUGUUCUUUACACCAACUAUAACUAGAAAGAGAAGGCAUGGUAAACAGACCCUAUAUAUCAGCCCAGGCCCUUUUCUUUGUAUUGUAAAGGGGUGAGGGGAACAUAA